This 64-nucleotide small nuclear RNA is filed under the name Capra hircus (goat). The record is from RNAcentral. Lineage: Eukaryota; Metazoa; Chordata; Mammalia; Artiodactyla; Bovidae.
CAGCAGAUUUGCAUGGCCCCUUCUCAAGGAUGACAUGCAAAUUCAUGAAGUAAUCCAUAUAUUU